This 22-nucleotide microRNA is filed under the name Capitella teleta. Its description in RNAcentral is "cte-miR-2d". Its record names the gene cte-miR-2d. The record is from miRBase by way of RNAcentral. Lineage: Eukaryota; Metazoa; Annelida; Polychaeta; Capitellidae.
AAUCACAGCCUGCUUUGGUCAU